CGUACACUCCACGGGAGGCAGCAGUGGGGAAUUUUGGACAAUGGGCGAAAGCCUGAUCCAGCAAUGCCGCGUGAGUGAAGAAGGCCUUCGGGUUGUAAAGCUCUUUUGUCAGGGAAGAAACGGUGAAAGCUAAUAUCUUUUGCUAAUGACGGUACCUGAAGAAUAAGCACCGGCUAACUACGUGCCAGCAGCCGCGGUAAUACGUAGGGUGCAAGCGUUAAUCGGAAUUACUGGGCGUAAAGCGUGCGCAGGCGGUUUUGUAAGUCUGAUGUGAAAUCCCCGGGCUCAACCUGGGAAUUGCAUUGGAGACUGCAAGGCUAGAAUCUGGCAGAGGGGGGUAGAAUUCCACGUGUAGCAGUGAAAUGCGUAGAUAUGUGGAGGAACACCGAUGGCGAAGGCAGCCCCCUGGGUCAAGAUUGACGCUCAUGCACGAAAGCGUGGGGAGCAAACAGGAUUAGAUACCCGAGUAGUCCCAUGAU
This 479-nucleotide ribosomal RNA is filed under the name uncultured organism. RNAcentral describes it as "partial 16S ribosomal RNA". It matches the Rfam family "Bacterial small subunit ribosomal RNA", at positions 330 to 801 of the family's 1533-position model. The record is from RNAcentral.